RNAcentral lists this ribosomal RNA (702 nucleotides) under uncultured organism. RNAcentral describes it as "SSU rRNA". It matches the Rfam family "Bacterial small subunit ribosomal RNA", at positions 752 to 1467 of the family's 1533-position model. The record is from RNAcentral.
CACGAAAGCGUGGGGAUCGAACAGGAUUAGAUACCCUGGUAGUCCACGCAGUAAACGAUGAUGGCUAACUGUCGGGCCUUAUGGGUUCGGCGGCCAAGCGAAAGCGAUAAGCCAUCCACCUGGGGAGUACGACCGCAAGGUUGAAACUCAAAGGAAUUGACGGGGGCCCGCACAAGCGGAGGAACAUGUGGUUUAAUUCGAUGAUACGCGAGGAACCUUACCCAGGCUCGAACGGCAUCUGAAUUGUCCAGAGAUGGACAAGUCUUCGGACAGAUGUCGAGGUGCUGCAUGGUUGUCGUCAGCUCGUGCCGUGAGGUGUCGGCUUAAGUGCCAUAACGAGCGCAACCCUUGCCGUCAGUUGCCAUCAGGUGAAGCUGGGGACUCUGGCGGGACUGCCACCGCAAGGUGCGAGGAAGGGGGGGAUGACGUCAAAUCAGCACGGCCCUUACGUCUGGGGCGACACACGUGUUACAAUGGCGGCUACAGAGGGAAGCCACCCCGCGAGGGGGCGCGGAUCUGAAAAGGCCGUCUCAGUUCGGACUGGAGUCUGCAACCCGACUCCACGAAGCUGGAUUCGCUAGUAAUCGCGCAUCAGCCAUGGCGCGGUGAAUACGUUCCCGGGCCUUGUACACACCGCCCGUCAAGCCAUGAAAGCCGGUGGCGCCUGAAGUACGUGACCGAAAGGAGCGUCCUAGGGCGGAA